RNAcentral lists this ribosomal RNA (234 nucleotides) under uncultured bacterium. RNAcentral describes it as "partial 16S ribosomal RNA". It matches the Rfam family "Bacterial small subunit ribosomal RNA", at positions 1256 to 1500 of the family's 1533-position model. The record is from RNAcentral.
GGCGACGCCGAGCGGACCCGAAAAGCCGCUCAGUUCGGAUCGGAGUCUGCAACCCGACUCCGUGAAGCUGGAUUCGCUAGUAAUCGCGCAUCAGCCAUGGCGCGGUGAAUACGUUCCCGGGCCUUGUACACACCGCCCGUCAAGCCAUGGAAGCCGGGGGCGCUUGAAGUGCGUUGCCGCAAGGCGCGCCCUAGAGCGAAACCGGUGACUGGGGCUAAGUCGUAACAAGGUAUC